ACACAUGCAAGUCGAACGAUGAUGCCCAGCUUGCUGGGCGGAUUAGUGGCGAACGGGUGAGUAAUACGUGAGUAACCUGCCCUUGACUCUGGGAUAAGCCUGGGAAACUGGGUCUAAUACUGGAUACUACCUCUUGCCGCAUGGUGGGUGGUGGAAAGGGUUUUACUGGUUUUGGAUGGGCUCACGGCCUAUCAGCUUGUUGGUGGGGUAAUGGCUCACCAAGGCGACGACGGGUAGCCGGCCUGAGAGGGUGACCGGCCACACUGGGACUGAGACACGGCCCAGACUCCUACGGGAGGCAGCAGUGGGGAAUAUUGCACAAUGGGCGGAAGCCUGAUGCAGCGACGCCGCGUGAGGGAUGACGGCCUUCGGGUUGUAAACCUCUUUCAGUAGGGAAGAAGCGAGAGUGACGGUACCUGCAGAAGAAGCGCCGGCUAACUACGUGCCAGCAGCCGCGGUAAUACGUAGGGCGCAAGCGUUGUCCGGAAUUAUUGGGCGUAAAGAGCUCGUAGGCGGUUUGUCGCGUCUGCUGUGAAAGCCCGGGGCUCAACCCCGGGUCUGCAGUGGGUACGGGCAGACUAGAGUGCAGUAGGGGAGACUGGAAUUCCUGGUGUAGCGGUGAAAUGCGCAGAUAUCAGGAGGAACACCGAUGGCGAAGGCAGGUCUCUGGGCUGUUACUGACGCUGAGGAGCGAAAGCAUGGGGAGCGAACAGGAUUAGAUACCCUGGUAGUCCAUGCCGUAAACGUUGGGCACUAGGUGUGGGGGACAUUCCACGUUUUCCGCGCCGUAGCUAACGCAUUAAGUGCCCCGCCUGGGGAGUACGGCCGCAAGGCUAAAACUCAAAGGAAUUGACGGGGGCCCGCACAAGCGGCGGAGCAUGCGGAUUAAUUCGAUGCAACGCGAAGAACCUUACCAAGGCUUGACAUUCACCGGACCGCCCCAGAGAUGGGGUUUCCCUUCGGGGCUGGUGGACAGGUGGUGCAUGGUUGUCGUCAGCUCGUGUCGUGAGAUGUUGGGUUAAGUCCCGCAACGAGCGCAACCCUCGUUCUAUGUUGCCAGCACGUGAUGGUGGGGACUCAUAGGAGACUGCCGGGGUCAACUCGGAGGAAGGUGGGGAUGACGUCAAAUCAUCAUGCCCCUUAUGUCUUGGGCUUCACGCAUGCUACAAUGGCCGGUACAAAGGGUUGCGAUACUGUGAGGUGGAGCUAAUCCCAAAAAGCCGGUCUCAGUUCGGAUUGAGGUCUGCAACUCGACCUCAUGAAGUCGGAGUCGCUAGUAAUCGCAGAUCAGCAACGCUGCGGUGAAUACGUUCCCGGGCCUUGUACACACCGCCCGUCAAGUCACGAAAGUUGGUAACACCCGAAGCCGGUGGCCUAACCCCUUGUGGGGAGGGAGCCGU
RNAcentral lists this ribosomal RNA (1400 nucleotides) under Kocuria sp. B013-15. RNAcentral describes it as "bacterial SSU rRNA". It matches the Rfam family "Bacterial small subunit ribosomal RNA". Lineage: Bacteria; Bacillati; Actinomycetota; Actinomycetes; Micrococcales; Micrococcaceae. The record is from RNAcentral.